This is a long non-coding RNA of Sceloporus undulatus (fence lizard), 497 nucleotides long. RefSeq lists it as uncharacterized. NCBI's taxonomy places the organism in Eukaryota, Metazoa, Chordata, Lepidosauria, Squamata, Phrynosomatidae. The record is from RefSeq and is a predicted model, not a curated record. The transcript has 3 exons.
GGGACUAAGAGCUGUUGUACAUGAAGAUGAGUCUGAAGAAAAGGAUGUCAAGAUGCUAAAAAGCAUCCAUGGUUUGAAUUCCUCCUUGUCCAUGGAAACUUACUCAAUCACCUUGUCCAGGCACGGCUAAACCCUCUGAACAAAAUCUGCCAAGAAUACACUGUGAUAGGUUCAUCUGAUGUCCAUUGCUGUUUCCAACUCCAAAUUCCAGCAGACCCAACUUACCGUUCCAUAAUGAGGUGCACCUGCUUGUCAAUUAAGUUACAUCCUUGUAGAGGCAUUUGCUACAGCUCAGUGCACUGAAGCUAUUAACCCUCACCUUGACAUCCAUCAGCAACUCAAGUUCUCAACAGCCUGCCAAAAUAUGAAAGUCUUCACCUGCCAUGGAAGGGGCCAGUCUAGCCUUUCUAGGAAAGGAAUGCCGGCAUCUGACAGCAGAUUUCAAAAAGGUUCUGUCAUACAUUCUCACCACACGUGUUUGGGAGAGUGCUGGGACA